This 814-nucleotide ribosomal RNA is filed under the name uncultured Pseudomonadota bacterium. Its description in RNAcentral is "bacterial SSU rRNA". It matches the Rfam family "Bacterial small subunit ribosomal RNA", at positions 8 to 847 of the family's 1533-position model. Lineage: Bacteria; Pseudomonadati; Pseudomonadota. The record is from RNAcentral.
AGAGUUUGAUCCUGGCUCAGAACGAACGCUGGCGGCAGGCCUAACACAUGCAAGUCGAGCGCGAAAGCACUUCGGUGUGAGUAGAGCGGCGGACGGGUGAGUAACGCGUAGGAAUCUACCUGGUAGUGGGGGACAACUCGGGGAAACUCGAGCUAAUACCGCAUACGCCCUACGGGGGAAAGCGGGGGACCUUCGGGCCUCGCGCUACCAGAUGAGCCCGCACUUGAUUAGUUUGUUGGUGGGGUAAUGGCCUACCAAGACUGUGAUCAAUAGCUGAUUUGAGAGGAUGAUCAGCCACAUUGGGACUGAGACACGGCCCAAACUCCUACGGGAGGCAGCAGUGGGGAAUCUUGCACAAUGGAGGAAACUCUGAUGCAGCGAUGCCGCGUGAGUGAAGAAGGCCCUUGGGUUGUAAAGCUCUUUCGUCGGGGAAGAAAAUGACUGUACCCGAAUAAGAAGGUCCGGCUAACUUCGUGCCAGCAGCCGCGGUAAUACGAAGGGACCUAGCGUAGUUCGGAAUUACUGGGCUUAAAGAGUUCGUAGGUGGUUGAAAAAGUUAGUGGUGAAAUCCCAGAGCUUAACUCUGGAACUGCCAUUAAAACUUUUCAGCUAGAGUAUGAUAGAGGAAAGCAGAAUUUCUAGUGUAGAGGUGAAAUUCGUAGAUAUUAGAAAGAAUACCAAUUGCGAAGGCAGCUUUCUGGAUCAUUACUGACACUGAGGAACGAAAGCAUGGGUAGCGAAGAGGAUUAGAUACCCUCGUAGUCCAUGCCCGUAAACGAUGUGUGUUAGACGUUGGAAAUUUAUUUUCAGUGUC